This 32-nucleotide non-coding RNA is filed under the name Homo sapiens (human). Lineage: Eukaryota; Metazoa; Chordata; Mammalia; Primates; Hominidae. The record is from RNAcentral.
UGAAAAGNGGAAAAAAUUUCGCUGGCCUGGGC